AACGAACGCUGGCGGCAGGCCUAACACAUGCAAGUCGAGCGCGCCUUCGGGUGGGCGGCAGACGGGUGAGUAACGCGUGGGAAUAUGCCCUUCUCUACGGAAUAGUCCUGGGAAACUGGGGGUAAUACCGUAUACGCCCUUUGGGGGAAAGUUUUAUCGGGGAAGGAUUAGCCCGCGUUGGAUUAGGUCGUUGGUGGGGUAAUGGCCUACCAAGCCGACGAUCCAUAGCUGGGUUGAGAGGAUGAUCAGCCACACUGGGACUGAGACACGGUCCAGACUCCUACGGGAGGCAGCAGUGGGGAAUCUUAGACAAUGGGGGCAACCCUGAUCUAGCCAUGCCGCGUGAGUGAUGAAGGCCGUAGGGUUGUAAAGCUCUUUCAGCUGGGAAGAUAAUGACGGUACCAGCAGAAGAAGCCCCGGCUAACUCCGUG
Molecule: ribosomal RNA, 431 nt
Filed under: uncultured bacterium
Lineage: Bacteria
Description: partial 16S ribosomal RNA
Rfam family: Bacterial small subunit ribosomal RNA
Source: RNAcentral